Molecule: unclassified non-coding RNA, 408 nt
Filed under: Hevea brasiliensis (rubber tree)
Lineage: Eukaryota; Viridiplantae; Streptophyta; Magnoliopsida; Malpighiales; Euphorbiaceae
Source: RNAcentral
GGAAAAACUACUUUAUUGCAGCUGAUUGCAGGGUUAAGCAAACCAACAUCAGGUUCAAUAUAUGUGCAAAGAUAUGGUGAUGAUGAUCAACAGAUUAAGUCUCCUGAACCCUUACAACCUGAAAGAGUUGGCAUUGUUUUCCAAUUUCCUGAGAGAUACUUUGUUGCGGACACUGUUCUUGAUGAAGUUACAUUUGGGUGGCCAAGACAAAAGGGUGGCCUACAAUUAAGAGAGCUUCUUGCUUCUAGACUUCAAAAGGCCAUUAUGUCGGUUGGUCUAACAGGAAUAUCUUUGGAUAAGGAUCCCCAUUCAUUAAGCGGUGGUUACAAACGUCGGCUAGCCCUUGCUAUUCAGUUAGUUCAAACACCAGAUUUAUUAAUAUUGGAUGAGCCUCUUGCUGGUCUUGAU